ACUGCUGGCUGUAAAUAUACUGGCAUAAUAAUUGUCCUGUGCUUUGUGCCGCAGAUCAAGUCAAGUUGCUGGACUUGGAAGGCCAGCUCAAGCCCAGCGACGUGCAACCUGCCGAGCUCCAUUUCGACUUCACGGUCGAGUACAUCGUGUGCCUGACGGACUGCGUGCUGGCGUUCCAUAAACAUGGCAUGCAGGGCCGGAGCUUCCUCAACAAUGAGGUCGUCCAGGAGAUCAGCGACUCCACGCGCAUAUUCCGUGUCCUUGGAUCAGACAGCGCAAAGUAUUUUGGGUUCACGGCGGCCGACCCAACCUGCGAGCAGGCAGAAAGGAUUGUGGUGCUGGAGAGCAGAGCAACAGAUACACCCACCGGACCUUCCAACAUCUACAUCCUUGCCGGGCACGAGAACAGCUACUAGGAUAACGGCUCUUUGCAUCUGGUGGAACCUUCAGCAGCAGACGAAGCAGUACAACUGGCAGGAAAGUUCACAACAAUGCGGAAGGUCACUCAACUGCUUCUCAAGAUGCUGCAGUUGCCACUGUUCUUUGUCGCCUAGCCAUGUGUGCAGUGAUAAGAGAGACAUGAAAUGCCUAAGUACGGUGUCUUCACGCUGGUCAAGUUGUGAAUACCAUUGUUCUGUAAAUCUUUCCGACCUUCAGUUGCCGCGUGUUUUGUGAUUCAAGCAGAAGGGACUUUGUCUGUUGAGACAGACCAAUGCAUCGACUUCUGGAGAUGGCGUCGGCAGUCCAAGUCAACAGGUGUUAUUUUGAGUGACAUGUUUCAUGUGGUUUGCCAACUGUGUCCUCUGGUUUAAUUGACAGUUACGGCGAUAGAGUUGGAAGUCAAUUGCAGUGCGGAGAUGUGUCCGCACCUUCUGCUGCGCAUCAAGACGAGAGGUAAAUGGAACAGUGGAGAGGCCUGCAUACGAUUUCGACGUCUGUCCUGGCGACGUUGCACCCGUCCCAUCGUUGCCGAGGGAGGUGUUCUCAAGUGUGCUCGACGUUGCAGCAUCAGCAAGACAACAGUCAUCGGCGUUUUAGUUUUGACGCAAGCUUGUCGUCUGCCGUCCACCAGGUGUCACUGCUACUCAGAUGCUGAGGUGGAAUUCAACUCUUGUUGACUGCAUUCUUUUCACUAUGUAUUUUAAUUUCUCUUUACUCUCUGGCAGUGACAAGGUGUACAGAGGGAGUGAUUGUUCCCAAUUCUUUUCCCUCCCAAUUCUUUCUUUUUCUUUUGUGUUUUUACUUCUUCCUCCACAUUCUCUGCCUGUCCAUGUCUAUGGUAACUCGGUAUUUAUUUGUGUACAUAUAUUGAAGCCUGGACUCUCCCUUUUUUUUUCUGUAUAGACAAAUGAAUUUACUCUUUGCAGAAGUGGUGGACGGAUGUGAGGGAACCCUUCUUUGUAGGGGUGGUGAGUGACCUGGAGGGGUUUCCGGUAGAUUUGCUUUUGUGUUAGGAUUUCUCGCAUCAACGAGCCAUCUAUGCAGCAUUGCAUCAAGAGGGAUGUGCUUCGGCUACUAUUUUCUACGAUUACACUGUAAACAGUUUGGUGUGGUGUGUUUUAGCAAUGGUGUGCGGAGAAUGAUGUUGAAGGACUUGUAACUUUGUGAGUCAUGGGUGUAUGAAAAGUGGAAAGUCGUUACUGCCUAAAAUGGCACUAACGGUAGUUCUAGUAGAUGCUGUGUGAAAUAGUAUGUGUCAGUCAACAUUCUCAAAUAUUACGUCCAAGUUAGCAACCUUUUUAUAUUUUUCAGCAUUGGGUCGUAACUUGGUUCCUUAGGUUUUGCAGAUGGAUUUUUACCUUGGUUUUAGAGAAAUAUAUCGGUCUUCUUUUUAUCUGUAUUGAGAUGUGCCCAUUAACGCCAUGACUGUUGGGACUUGCAUAGAUAACUUGUACAAUGAAUUCGCUAGUAGUCAAUUCUGAAAAUUGACCGCCAUGAGUAGGCAAGGCCAAACUAGAAUUGGGGGGGGAACGGAGGUUUCUUGGUGAGGUGACCAUUUUUGCAUGCAAUAUUUUUCAAGAGAACUCAGUCAAGUUUAAGAAUUUUCAAGUGCAAGAGGAGAACUUACCUUAAAGAACAAGCCUAAUACGUAUAGCAACAUCCGUUGUGUUUCGUACGACUUUACGACUUCAGCUGUGUCUUCUGUUGCAUAAAAGCUAUGGGCACUCUGGUUUUGUUUCCACGUGUUUAAAUUGGAAGCACCUGUAAUUCAUGUGAGCGAACAACAGUAACAUCAAAAAUAUUCAGCAAUCUUGUAGCGGAGUAGCAUUUUCUGAUUUAGAAAUUUUAUUACUGCUUGUCUUAGGCAUUCGUGUUGCCGAUUAAAAGUUGAGGGGCCGAGAGAAAUGACGAAUGCUGUGCACCUUCAGCCUGCCUUGCUUUUCCACAACAGUGGCCGAGCUUUCCCAAGAGCUUUAUUCAGAUGUUAUUAUAACACCGCGUCGUGCUUUACCAAAUUAAUAGGCCAGAUGCGAGAAGCGGUGUACGAAGUGAAGAAGGCAAAUUGAAUGAACCCGUGAAAGCAAGGCUGCAUGCCAGCUUUGAGCAAGUUUUCAAAAUUGUGACGAGUUCUUGCGCGAGUGCACAGUUGCAUCUUAUAACGCUCUUUGCAUCUGUUGUUGUUUUACAUAUUUACUGAAAAUGUCUUUGGAACACUGAAGCCAUGAUGACUUGGUUUUGUAGCAUCGUGGCUAUGAAGCCUAUAAAUACGAGGAUCAAUGCAGUGGUUGCAGAUUUGAACUUAAGCUCUUCAUGAUUUGUGGCACUUUAAAUGUUGCAAUUAGGGGCACUGUGGCGUAAUGAAAUGAACGUGUGCUGCCUUUGUGGGGCACAUUUAAUGUUGAGUGGGGAAGAUGCACCAGUGCAAACUGAGACGGUCAAAUAGUUAGAAAACACAGGGGCAGCAUUUGCCCAGUGUUGUUCUAUGUGAAUUUCUCGGUUUGUUAUAUUACGUCUUCCUUACAUUUGAACCGCUUUUGACGAGAAGGAAGUCUUCGUUUAAUGUUGAGUGCUGCAGUUGUUUGGACAUGACUUCAGACUGAAAUGCGUGCAAUAUAAAAACACUGUGUGAAGAUGAUAACAUGGCAGGCACCUGUGAUGUCUUCAUCUUCAUCUAGUUCCCAGAGAAAUUGAUGUAACGCACGUCAAGAGGCCAAGGGCACCCUGGCCAAGUAUGUCAGGCUCAUGAUUAAGCAAUCCUGAUGCAUUUUCUGACUUCCCUUCGCAAAAGGACUGCUGCUACUGCCCAUUUAAAGAGACUGUAAAAAUCUGUCUGGGAAUUUUACUGUGUAAACCAGGGGCGACCAGACAGCCGUAUUCGGAGUCACAAAAGAGCUCACUGUAUUGCUCAAAGUUGCAGCAAAACCCAAGAGUUUGAGACCUUAACAUCAUAUACCGCAUUUUGACUGCUUGUCCUCUAUGCUAUAAAAUGCUGGUCUAGUUGGCCGCUCCUGAUGUAACCGACUUCUCUCUUCUUUUCAUCAUCGCGCUUCUAAUGAGAAUUUAUUAUUGCAGAUAAGUAUCUGUGCUUUGAAACAAAGUUUCUAUUUGAGUACCCUACAAUGCAGUCCUUAUCACUGCUGGAGAUUAGAUGGAACAUACUGGAAGGGCACUACUGUUUUGGUGCACAUAUUGCAGUGGAUUGGACGAGGCUGGGUUUUGGUGAUGGGUUGUUCAGAUCAGCAUGCAUGGCUCACCAUCAGGUGAUGCCUUCAAAGUACAACUCCACUCUUAAAUGCUCCUGCCGACUGUGUGAAAACUCAGUGGUGUCACGAGGUGAAUUCUGCUGGUUGCUCCGGAGUGUUUCUCGCUCUGUGACGAAAAAUUUGUCUUCUGCCAAUCAGUUCAGAGUAGAUUCGUUCCCCACUGCUCCUUUUGGAUUGACCUGCUCCAUGGGGCAUGCUUUCAACAGUAAGUCUCAUGAUCUACAACCUCGGCAAAUCAGACGCUAGGUGUGUGAGAAGGCACCCACUGUGAUCUGGUCUGCAGCAUUCUGCUUUCGUUCGAGUGAUGUGGAUUUGGUGAAACACGAGCGCAUCCAACGAGUACUUACUCGAGGAUUCAAGCAGCUCCUCCAGAACAACCAGUGGAAUUUGCAGACGGUUUGGCAUAUUCUCAAAACUGCAAGCUAGCCUCUUCGGCUCAGAUCGCCCGUGCCGCUGUUACAAGUCAGUGAAGUAUGGUCACACAGCUGUUCUGCAGGAAGCAUGUCGCCUGUUCCGGCUAUUAACACUGAGUAAUUAUUUUUGUGGCAGCCUGCCAGCCCGAGUGCCAGUUUAAUGUGUCUGCUGCUGGAGUGUGCAAGAAGAAGGUGAACCGAGGGGCUAGAUUUCUUGUUAGUGGCUACCAGCGAAGUCAAUAGGCAAUUAAGCCAAGAAAUGCUUGGCGCGAAAUGUUUUAAAUUUUAAUGUAAGAGUAAUGGGGAACAAGAGAAAUGAAUGUGGACCAUAAGACUAUGCGCAGGUGGAAACUGAGCCCACGUCUUCCGCAUGCCGUGAGUAGCGCUGGCUCACGCCCCGAAGGCUAACCUAGUACACUAAUAUCGAAGACAGUGGACGGGAGAGUGGCCGCUACCGUAGCUCAAUUGGCAGAACAUUGCACGCAAAAUACGGCUGACGUGGUUUUAACUCCCACCUGUGGCAAGUUGUCUUGUCAUCCUCUUUCAUUUUUCAUUCUUAUAUUAUAAUUUUAAAAAAUAGGCAAUAGUCUCUUUGUGCUAUCGCUGGCUUCAUAAUCUGUGGUAGCUGCUGCACUGUGUGCAUCACCUGUCCCGAGUGCCCUGUAGAUGGUUGUCGAUACCCUGAGCGUACAACGCAUUGCUCACAAGAGGCGAUUGGUUGUGGUUUGCUGGAGGAGGAAAGUGUGUUGGAAGCAGCGGGAACUCGCACCGAGACUACUCUUGGACCAGCACCAGAUACAGGUCUGCUGCACAUAAAAGAAAAGCCAAGUGAAAAAGGGUUGCCAAUAAAACAAGGACAGGCAUAUUGCUGCAGCAGCUGUAUUGUAAUAUCCCGAGUCAUCGCCCAUCUCCAAGACUGCCCACUUCCUUUAUCUUGCAAAACGCCCAUACUUCAAAAUACAACCUUGAGGUCAUCCACUUCGCAAAAGUACUGCGGACCACACAGUGGCAUGGCUUUGACUGUGUACACUAAGAGCAUUUUGCAGCAUCUGUUUGACGAAUUUUGUUCUUAAAUUGCAGAUUUACUGCAUAAAAGGAUACAUUCGCAGGCAACUUGUGGCAUAUGCUUUUAUGAAGCACGCUUACUAUUGGUGACUCCUCAGCCUGACUUUUUUUUGUUUUCUGCACUUGCACACAGAAAUUGCCUACCCCCUUAGCCUCCCUCCCCCUUUGUUUAAUAAUGUCUUCUGAUGGAUGUAACAUGACUCGGCACAUUGCAGUAUAUGAGGCUCUUGUUGCAUGAGGCUAGCUUAAUGGGUCUAUCAGAAACGGACAGGCUGCAGGCCUACCUGUAAUGUCAUGGCCUCUGAAGGCCCGUGCCUUUCAUAUGUAGACCAUAGAUGCGAGCUACACACAUUCCCAGUGCACGACCAGGUGUGUACAUCGUCAAACUGCUCCCCAGCUUUAUCGAACAAGUCUCGCAAAGCAGCGUCUCCGUAAGAUUUAGCCAGAAACUUGCAACAGAGGAAAGAUGGGGCAAUUCACAGGGUACAAAAAAGAUUUACAAUCGCGUUGCAAGGAUUCAAACUCAAAGAGAAUUUAGAAUUCCAUUUAAUUAAGCAAAUCUCAAAAUUCUAGUUGGCUUGCUGCAUUCUCAAGCUACUUUUAAGCACCUCAACUAAAACUGAGCUUGUGUUUGGUUUAGCUACUUCAAACUUGUUGCCUUCCCAAACUAAAGCAAUUCUUCAUACAGAAGGCAUGACAAGUCAAAAUGUAUGUAACCACGUUUGAUACCCUGGCUUCUCUGCAUGUUGACAUGUGCCGUAUUGAAGUGGCACCACAGAUUCGGUAGUGCAUUUGGGGUUCUGAUGUAGCCCAGGUUUGCGUUCAUAGGGACACUGUCUUAUCCUGCGUCUCGGGAAGUAUCCAUUUAUUUCACAUUCAGACUCACUUCCAUUUAGUGUCGUGCAGAAGGCAUGCAGGAUAUCAUUUUGCUGUGCAUCACAUCAGAAUUUAUAAUGCCGAUUUUUGACCACCUUUCUGCAAACUUUGAGUAAUUCGAACAAAAAUCCGUGGUUCCUAGGAGUUUGAAUCCAUGCGAGUUGGCUUUUAGCUGAGGCUGCAUUAUAGAAUGUAAUCGAUUCUUCUGAGAUGUUGUGAGAGAGAGGUACAUAAUGUAGAUGUUUAACAAUAUUAUAGGUUGGCAAAUUGGAGGGGAAGCUGCUUUGGACGCUGUACAUACCUCGGGAAAAUUAUUUAAUUGAUAUUGACACCUUGUACAAGCAAAGCUAAGAGAGCAUACAAAUAAAACUUAAGAGAAUAAUCUAUUUUCAGUGGUCAAUAGAAUCUAUUUAGCUAGCUUACACUAGGCACAAGCUGACAGGCUUCAAGCUAUUACUGAAUUAUAUUUGAAUGAAGUGUUAAGCUAGGUCUGAAAUCAAGGCUUGCAAGCAUAGUGUAUUGCAACUAUUUCCGCCACAACUUUGCCAAUACAUACAAGAUACUGGCACCUUCUCUGGCUUUUCAAAAUAUGUGCAAAAUCUUUUCAGACAUUUUUAUUGAGUUCACAACCAAGCCAGUUGUAGGGCAACAGCGCUCCAUGUAAAUGUUUGUGAGCUUUUUUUUCUUUUUUAAUGCUCCAUUCUUAAUCACUGUUAUUAUUUUGUAGGCUUCUUCCCCCUCAAGUUUAUUUUUGUUCUCAAAUGCUUUGAAAUUUAUGGAGAACAGUAAGUUGGGGCUAGUUGUAUUUGUCAAUAUUCUCACUGCAUUGAGUGCAGAACAGUGAACAGAGUACUUGUAAAUAAAUGAACAAAUAUUUUCUAGUGUAGUUUAGCAUGGUGGCAAGUCUCGUGGGGCAGCAAUAGCCACAGCCAUAGCAGCCUGUGUCGUAUGUAACUGUCGUAACAGUUUUGUAUGGACAUCCAUAAUGUCUCUGUGGACAAGGCGAGUUGUGCAAAUUGUGCUCCUACAAAUUGUGCACUCGUUUUAUGUGACUGUACACUGCGCACAGAUCUGCAGAUUCUUUAGUUCCCUCUGCCAUUUCAUCACAGACACUCGUAAAGCUCCUAAUUAUGCUGUGUCAUCGUAGUACCAUUUAUGACUGCUGCUGUUAUUUGGAACAUGCACUUUAUAUAGUGCAUUUGAAGUUGUACAGACACUGACUGACACUAUUGGUUUAGUAUCUUCGCCUCAAAAUUUACAUCGAAUUAAGGGAAAACUACAGUGGAAUCUGGUUCAUACGAUCUUCACGGGAACCAGAAAAUAAAACGUAUCAUCCAGAAAUCAUACCAACCGAAUACAUUGCUCCUCUGUCCCGUAUGACAAUGUAUUCGGUUUAAAAAGAGAAAAAAAAUUUAUUAUGCAGAAUUGUAUCGAGAUUACACUGUAUACUAAAAAAGACAGAAGACAUGGAUUUGACAGUACUUCUAGCACUAGCCUUUUUUUUUCUUUCAUUAGUUUAAUCGCACUUGCCUUCUUACUCACUCAUUCUAGGCAUUAAUAACUGUCACCCUGUAGCAAGUUCUGUGCAGUUUAUGAACAAGGAAUUCGGGCACUGAUCAAGCUGUGCUCACUUGCAGUUCUGAAAAAAAAAAUUGUUUAAACUCAUCCAAUGUCUAGCGAUAGCUGUUAUGACGGUGUACAUAGUGUAAUAAACUGCCCGCCUUUUAGGAUAAAACACAAUCCUGGUUGUUCCUUGCCACGCCCACAGUAUGGAAUGGCAUACCCGUUACUGCAAGCAUACAAGUGCAGGUGUGUUUUUCUGAGCAAAUGUGUUUUCGCUGUGUCAAAAGAGCUUCAGUUACCUUGGGCGAACUGCACUAAGCAGGUCGGAUGUGACGUGCGUUGGCUGUGCCAUGACAUUGUAACAAACAAACAAAAACGACAAAGGCAAACCUUGUUGUAUGGUUUGAGGUAGUUGGGUUGUUGAUCUUUGUUAGACUUGCCUCGUAGAAAGGAAUGUUAAGUGUUACAGCUUGGGAAAUGAGAAAGUAAAUGUUAAGCAUCGGCUGACUUGAGUUGGUUUUAGCACUGUAUAGGCGUGUUCGUUUUAACAUCUGUGAAAGUCGCUUGAGUAAUUAAUGGUAGGCAUCGUGAGUAAGCCAGAGAGCACGUCUACUGCACCUACCUUUUUUGCAGUACACCCAUGCAAACUAUAACGACUGAAAAGGAUUCUUGUUUUUGGAGUUGAUUGGACGGUACGCUCACUGUCAUCAGUGACUUGUCCGUGCAUCUUUAUGCAAUUUUAGCAUUGUGUGGUGUCAGUGCUUUCUGAACCAGUCUCUCCCUACACAUAGGGACACCUUCAUUUCUCGAGGCUCACGGACUUAUGUGCAUGCCUCCCAUAAGCUGCACUAUCAUGGUUUGGAUUUGGGAUAUAGGAAGAGUUUCAUACUCGAAAUAGCUCCGAGUGCAAAAUUCUUGCAUACUUUCAGUAUUUACCCCGCCUAAGUUUCUAAGCUUUUGCUUGUUGUCCUAUCUUGAGAAACUUUUGUAGAUCAUCAUGACAUUCUGCACUUGCUGUGCAACCAUAUGUGAUACAAAUUGGACCAAAAUUCUGCUCACCCUUUGGCUGAUGCCGAUGUACAUCUCUUUUUGUAAAUUUGGAGUUUCAAUUGUGUUUUUGCGGUGUAAGUCGCCAUAUUUUUUUUAAAGCAGCACUUUAUGUGUCCCUAUCGAAAAUUGACUGUUGGAUUGCCAUUCUAAAUGCAUCCUUGUAUUGCUAAAGUGAUUGCUAAGUUGAAACAGUCAAACAGGCCAGCAGAGAGAUUUGCGGUUUAGUGUGCUUGUGGCAUAUGUUCAUGUUGCGAUGCCUCUGUAGUUAUACUCUCGGUAUUCGAAUCUUUGUUUUUGUGUGUGUAUGCACAGUACUGCUUGUAAGGGUUUUGACAAUUCUGAAACUUCCUAUAAGCUUCCUUGAAGGUUGCUGUGCAUGAGUUUGUAUUAUAUAUGUAUGUAUGUAUACGAGUGUGUACACAAUUUGCUAGCUGUGAUGUUAGAAUGUCCACAUUCAUGUUCACGCUUUUAUUUUUGUAGAGUCCACCUGGCUUUUUUUUUUUUUUGAUGCCCCACAGAGCAGUGGUGUGAGAAGUAUAAGAGUGGUGUAAUAAAUGAGAGUUGAAUGCAAGCCUAAGGUCAA
Dermacentor silvarum is the source of this 9254-nucleotide long non-coding RNA. RefSeq lists it as uncharacterized. Lineage: Eukaryota; Metazoa; Arthropoda; Arachnida; Ixodida; Ixodidae. The record is from RefSeq and is a predicted model, not a curated record. The transcript is spliced from 4 exons.